AUUGAACGCUGGCGGCAUGCUUUACACAUGCAAGUCGAACGGUAACAGGCCUUCGGGUGCUGACGAGUGGCGAACGGGUGAGUAAUGCAUCGGAACGUGCCCAGAGGUGGGGGAUAACGCAGCGAAAGCUGUGCUAAUACCGCAUGUGAUCUGAGGAUGAAAGCGGGGGACCAGGCAGCAAUGUUUGGCCUCGCGCCUUUGGAGCGGCCGAUGUCAGAUUAGGUAGUUGGUGGGGCAAAGGCCUACCAAGCCGACGAUCUGUAGCUGGUCUGAGAGGACGACCAGCCACACUGGGACUGAGACACGGCCCAGACUCCUACGGGAGGCAGCAGUGGGGAAUUUUGGACAAUGGGCGCAAGCCUGAUCCAGCAAUGCCGCGUGCGGGAAGAAGGCCUUCGGGUUGUAAACCGCUUUUGUACGGAACGAAAAGGCUCUGGCUAAUACCUGGGGCUGAUGACGGUACCGUAAGAAUAAGCACCGGCUAACUACGUG
RNAcentral lists this ribosomal RNA (492 nucleotides) under uncultured bacterium. Its description in RNAcentral is "partial 16S ribosomal RNA". It matches the Rfam family "Bacterial small subunit ribosomal RNA", at positions 30 to 507 of the family's 1533-position model. The record is from RNAcentral.